CCCCAUACUUAGGCUUUUACUCGUCCUCGAGAAAAGGAUGGUUAAGAACAAUAUCUGGGGUAAACAUUUAAAACAUUCUCUUUACAAUUGCAGGGUGUUAAAAAUUCCACUGUGUACCAUAGUCAGGGAAGUAUAUGAUUAAGAGUAAAGAUCCUUUCUUCUCAAUCCUGUCACUUGGAGUUUUUUGUAUAUUUUUGAAAGAAAGUUAGCAUACCUUUUGAUCCUCAUAGGUUCUCUCAGAUCACUCAUUAUCUUUUAUAUAUAUAUCUCACUGAGGCUGUUUUAUUUUGCAAAAAUUCUCAAGCAUACUUACUUUGGAUUUAUUGCCUGAUCAAAACGGGAUCUGAGGAGGGAAAUGUCAUACUCUUAGAUCAAAGACUUUGAAAAUUAAAAACUUUGUCAUCUCUUGCUGGCAUAUUGCUUAUUAGAGGGACCAUGGGCUAUCAUUUUUUUUAAGUGGAUACCGAGGUACCCCUAAUUCUACUGCCGGACACUUGUCCAUUUUUUUCUGCGAGGUUGUCGAGCACUUGCUCCUUUUUAUUUCCUUGAAAUAUCUCUAUUUUUGCAUAGCCCAUGCCUCUAAUGCAAUAAUACUUCGGAAGAGUGAAUCUUACUGAAAUAGUGUCUUGAUCUUGGGAGCAUGAUAAAUCUCUCAACAAGUGUCUAACUCAUUUUGAACAAACUUAAUACAGAGCAGAUAGCUUUUAUAAUCAUAUUUACUAUUUCAGUUUUAUCAGGCAUAUAAAACACUGAGGAUGGUAGCUAGAAAUUUGAAUAUUUUGAAAUAAAUUCUCCAAGCAACAAUGAUAUCAAGAAUAAGAAACUCAUACUCUACCAUCACAUAUUCCAUAUUGACUUAAG
RNAcentral lists this long non-coding RNA (861 nucleotides) under Sorghum bicolor (sorghum). RNAcentral's name for it is "long non-coding RNA (SBIC_LNC014581)". Lineage: Eukaryota; Viridiplantae; Streptophyta; Magnoliopsida; Poales; Poaceae. The record is from RNAcentral.